Molecule: ribosomal RNA, 615 nt
Filed under: uncultured microorganism
Description: partial 16S ribosomal RNA
Source: RNAcentral
CAGGUCACUCCUACGGGAGGCAGCAGCAGGCCGGUUAAUUUUUACCGCCGGGCCCCGCAAGAUACCAGACAAUCAGACCGACUACCGGAAACACAAGUACGCCCACGAUCCAUAAAGCUUUGGCUAAGGUAUCUACCGAACUUUGGGCGAUUUUGAUGAUUGCAUAAAUGUCUGCAAUCAGAAUCAGUAAUCCGAUAAGUGCACUCAUUUGAUACUCCUUAUUAGUAAUUAUUUACUGCCGACCAAUGCCUUAACCGCACUCACCACAUCCCCCGGCAUCACCACAAUCUUGCUGUUUUCCGAGGCUGACAUCUUCUGUAACGCAUGAAUGUAGCGGUCACCAAGCAGGAAGGUGGCUGAGCUGUUGUUUUCUUUCACCGCCUCGGCAAUCAGGCGUAUGGAUUCAGCGGAGGCUUUGGCUGCUACUUCCUGUGCUUCAGCAUCCCUGCGAGCCGCUUCCAGCCUGGCUUCUGCAUUCAGAAUAAGAGAUUGUUUCUCACCUUCUGCCCGGGUGACGACGGCAACGCGUUCACGUUCUGCCGAUGCUUGCUGCUCCAUCGCGUGUUGCAUGUUGGCUGAAGGUUUGAUGUCCUGAAUCUCCACCGAUUUUACCGU